Non-coding RNA from Streptococcus macacae NCTC 11558, 347 nucleotides. The record is from Rfam. NCBI's taxonomy places the organism in Bacteria, Bacillati, Bacillota, Bacilli, Lactobacillales, Streptococcaceae.
GGGGUCGUUACGGAUUCGACAGGCAUUAUGAGACUUAUUUUGCGACUCAUCAAGCGGAUGUAAAACGCCAGUUAAAUAUAACUGCAAAAAAUAACAAUUCUUACGCAGUAGCUGCCUAAAGCAGCCUGUGUGACCCGAUUCGGAUUGCUUGUGUCUGAUGACCGGUCUUAUUUAUAGCAAGCUACGGUACAAUCAGGUCUAGGGAUUUUACAAGAGAUUAAUAGACUCGUCUGGCUUUGGCCUGAGCUAUGUGUCAAAAUCAGGUUAAAUUAAGACAUAGCCUAUGGUUGUAGACAAAUAAGUUGGCAGGUGUUUGGACGUGGGUUCGACUCCCACCGACUCCAUAA